GCCUUCGGGUUGUAAACCUCUUUCAGUAGGGAAGAAGCGAAAGUGACGGUACCUGCAGAAGAAGCACCGGCUAACUACGUGCCAGCAGCCGCGGUAAUACGUAGGGUGCGAGCGUUAUCCGGAAUUAUUGGGCGUAAAGAGCUCGUAGGCGGUUUGUCGCGUCUGUCGUGAAAGUCCGGGGCUUAACCCCGGAUCUGCGGUGGGUACGGGCAGACUAGAGUGCAGUAGGGGAGACUGGAAUUCCUGGUGUAGCGGUGGAAUGCGCAGAUAUCAGGAGGAACACCGAUGGCGAAGGCAGGUCUCUGGGCUGUAACUGACGCUGAGGAGCGAAAGCAUGGGGAGCGAACAGGAUUAGAUACCCUGGUAGUCCAUGCCGUAAACGUUGGGCACUAGGUGUGGGGACCAUUCCACGGUUUCCGCGCCGCAGCUAACGCAUUAAGUGCCCCGCCUGGGGAGUACGGCCGCAAGGCUAAAACUCAAAGGAAUUGACGGGGGCCCGCACAAGCGGCGGAGCAUGCGGAUUAAUUCGAUGCAACGCGAAGAACCUUACCAAGGCUUGACAUGUUCUCGAUCGCCGUAGAGAUACGGUUUCCCCUUUGGGGCGGGUUCACAGGUGGUGCAUGGUUGUCGUCAGCUCGUGUCGUGAGAUGUUGGGUUAAGUCCCGCAACGAGCGCAACCCUCGUUCCAUGUUGCCAGCACGUAAUGGUGGGGACUCAUGGGAGACUGCCGGGGUCAACUCGGAGGAAGGUGAGGACGACGUCAAAUCAUCAUGCCCCUUAUGUCUUGGGCUUCACGCAUGCUACAAUGGCCGGUACAAUGGGUUGCGAUACUGUGAGGUGGAGCUAAUCCCAAAAAGCCGGUCUCAGUUCGGAUUGGGGUCUGCAACUCGACCCCAUGAAGUCGGAGUCGCUAGUAAUCGCAGAUCAGCAACGCUGCGGUGAAUACGUUCCCGGGCCUUGUACACACCGCCCGUCAAGUCACGAAAGUCGGUAACACCCGAAGCCGGUGG
Molecule: ribosomal RNA, 1010 nt
Filed under: Micrococcus sp. Iso IS3
Lineage: Bacteria; Bacillati; Actinomycetota; Actinomycetes; Micrococcales; Micrococcaceae
Description: bacterial SSU rRNA
Rfam family: Bacterial small subunit ribosomal RNA
Source: RNAcentral